GACAGAGGGUGCAAACGUUGUUCGGAAUUACUGGGCGUAAAGCGCGUGUAGGCUGCUUCGCAAGUCGGGUGUGAAAGCCCUGGGCUCAACCUAGGAAGUGCACUCGAAACUGCGAAGCUUGAGUUCUGGAGAGGAAGGCGGAAUUCUCGGUGUAGAGGUGAAAUUCGUAGAUAUCGAGAGGAACACCGGUGGCGAAGGCGGCCUUCUGGACAGUGACUGACGCUGAGACGCGAAAGCGUGGGGAGCAAACAGG
RNAcentral lists this ribosomal RNA (253 nucleotides) under uncultured bacterium. Its description in RNAcentral is "partial 16S ribosomal RNA". It matches the Rfam family "Bacterial small subunit ribosomal RNA", at positions 524 to 776 of the family's 1533-position model. The record is from RNAcentral.